Molecule: long non-coding RNA, 1549 nt
Organism: Oryctolagus cuniculus (rabbit)
Lineage: Eukaryota; Metazoa; Chordata; Mammalia; Lagomorpha; Leporidae
Source: Ensembl
AUGGGAGAGGGAACUUCCUGCCUGCUUUCUUCUGUGCCCAAGGAGGAUGCAGAGGCGGAGUUUCCUGCUGACACAGCAGAUAAAGAAUCUCCACACACUGAGGUGACCGCAGUAGGAAUGACAAAUGAUUGGGCCUCACAGAGCAUUUCCAAGUCCUACAGUGAAGCUGAAGUCUCUUCAGGCUAUGGGGCAGCACCUGAACUUUCCACUGGGUGUGGCAAUCGGGGGCUGUCCACAUGUUCCCUGGACGUGAACUAUUCCCAAAGUCUUCUGGACAUGGAGGACCUUGACCAAGAAGAACAGGAAAUAUUCCUUUGCUCCUUGGAAGCCUGCAAUGUGGAGGGCGGGACGCAGAGGAGUUGGAGCUUCUCCAACCACAGGAAGCUUGAACAACGCAGGAGGAGACACAGCUCACCAGCCACAUCUCUCCUCACCAGUCCUCUGCAGAUUAUGGUAUUAAAUUAUCAUCAUCCGUACUGGUUGCUUUUCAUAUGGUUUUGUCCAAUGAAGCACAUCACAGGGAAACACCUCAGCAAAGGUAGAACUUAAAGGAUCUGAGAGCAGUCACCCUAGUGACUACCACCACCACCAACCCCUCAGGAGGAAUCCCAUUUGAUCCUCAAUGAAUAGUCACUGCCAGGGUGGUCUUUUCAAUCCGUUCUUACAGCAAUACUUUCUAUGGUUUUUUAAAGAUUUAUUUAUUGAUUCAAAAGUCAUAGUUACACAGAGAGAGAAGAGGCAGAGAGAGAAGUCUUCCAUCUUCUGAUUCAUUCCCCAGAUGGUCGCAACAGCCAGACCUGCACCGAUCUGAAGCUAGGAGCCAAGAGCUUCUUCCAGGUCUCCCACACGGGUACAGGGCCCAAGGACUUGGGCCAUCUUCUACUGCUUUCCCAGGCCAUAGCAGAGAGCUGGAUUGGAAGUGGAGCAGCCGAGUCUCAAACCGGCACCCAUAUGGGAUGCCAGCACUUCAGGCCAGGGCGUUAACUUGCUGCACCACAGUGCCGGCCCCUAGGGGUUUUGUUGUCACCCAUCUGUUCCUUCCAUUGGAAGGCAUCAUGGGGUCCCUUUCGCUCACAGUGUCUCUUGACGACCUGGAUGCCAAUGCACUUUUUACCUAAUGUCAGCUUGGAUGGCACAGAAUUCCAGGUUUAGUUUCUCUUCUCAAGCAUCUUAAAUAUAUUCUUUUUCCUUUUGCCCAGACUCGCUGUUUCUACAAGACUGAUGAGAUUCUCAGUUUCAUUUCCCUUUAUGUCACUCAUCCUUGUAUUCUAGAUGCCUGAACAUUUUUCUUUUAAUACACAGAUUUUACUGGAAUAUCAAUGGCAUCAGCCAAAGUCACAUCCAGUGGUCUUCUAAGAUGGAAUCUGACAGCGCAUUUUCGUUGGCAGAAAAGUCUGCAUUGUGCUGAUUGGCUUUGGGUCACUGCACUGUCUCUUCCCUUCCAAGAAUUUCAGGCAUCCAGCAGCUCCCUGUGCUUCUCUUCAUCUCCCAACAUCUCUGAUCAGGUUUCUGUUGUUAACAUUUUCUUCUAUUCACCUUCCGUGUCUUG